Molecule: ribosomal RNA, 497 nt
Filed under: uncultured bacterium
Lineage: Bacteria
Description: partial 16S ribosomal RNA
Rfam family: Bacterial small subunit ribosomal RNA
Source: RNAcentral
GAUGAACGCUGGCGGCGUGCCUAAUACAUGCAAGUCGAGCGAACAGAUGAGGAGCUUGCUCCUCUGACGUUAGCGGCGGACGGGUGAGUAACACGUGGAUAACCUACCUAUAAGACUGGGAUAACUUCGGGAACCCGGAGCUAAUACCGGAUAAUAUAUUGAACCGCAUGGUCCAAUAGUGAAAGACGGUUUUGCUGUCACUUAUAGAUGGAUCCGCGCCGCAUUAGCUAGUUGGUAAGGUAACGGCUUACCAAGGCAACGAUGCGUAGCCGACCUGAGAGGGUGAUCGGCCACACUGGAACUGAGACACGGUCCAGACUCCUACGGGAGGCAGCAGUAGGGAAUCUUCCGCAAUGGGCGAAAGCCUGACGGAGCAACGCCGCGUGAGUGAUGAAGGUCUUCGGAUCGUAAAACUCUGUUAUUAGGGAAGAACAAAUGUGUAAGUAACUAUGCACGUCUUGACGGUACCUAAUCAGAAAGCCACGGCUAACUACGUG